RNAcentral lists this ribosomal RNA (3096 nucleotides) under Triticum aestivum (bread wheat). RNAcentral's name for it is "partial small subunit ribosomal RNA". Lineage: Eukaryota; Viridiplantae; Streptophyta; Magnoliopsida; Poales; Poaceae. The record is from RNAcentral.
AUGAUUUCAUCGUUGGUUGUCAUCAUUCUCACCGUACUCUGCAACGCUCCACUGGCCAGAUUCCAACACAAAUUUCAGAGUAAACUUAUGGAAGCACAAGAUGUGAGAUUGAAGGCCAUGUCUGAGUCACUAGUUCAUAUGAAGGUCUUGAAACUUUAUGCAUGGGAAGGCCACUUCAAGAAGGUCAUCGAGGGGUUGAGGGAAGUUGAGUACAAGUGGUUGUCAGCAUUCCAGCUUUGGAGGGCAUACAACAGUUUCCUGUUCUGGGCUUCUCCUGCUUUGGUUUCUGUGGCAACCUUUGUAACAUGCUAUCUUUUGAAAAUCCCUCUUGAUGCUAGCAAUGUAUUCACCUUUGUGGCAACUCUACGUCUCGUGCAAGACCCAGUUAGGACGAUACCCGAUGUUAUUGCAGUUGUGAUACAAGCUAAGGUUGCUUUCACUCGGAUAUCAAAGUUCCUUGAUGCACCUGAGUUAAACGAGCAAGUUAGGAAGAAAUAUUAUGGUGGAAUUGAUUACCCUAUAGCGAUGAAUUCGUGUAGCUUCUCCUGGGAUGAGAAUACAUCAAAACCAACUCUAAAGAAUAUAAAUAUGGCAGUCAAAGCUGGAGAAAAGGUUGCAAUUUGUGGAGAGGUUGGAUCAGGAAAGUCGACACUUUUGGCUGCUGUGCUCGGAGAGGUUCCCAAAACUGAAGGCACGAUCCAAGUCUGUGGGAAAAUAGCAUAUAUUUCUCAGAAUGCAUGGAUCCAAACAGGAACUGUGCAAGACAAUAUUCUGUUUGGAUCGUCGAUGGACAGGCAAAGAUACCUCAACACACUCGUGAGGUGCUCGUUGGUCAAGGACCUUGAAAUGCUGCCAUAUGGAGAUUGUACUCAAAUUGGGGAGAGAGGAGUAAAUCUUAGUGGUGGCCAGAAGCAACGCGUCCAGCUUGCUCGUGCACUAUACCAAAAUGCAGACAUCUAUCUUCUUGAUGACCCUUUCAGUGCUGUUGAUGCCCAUACAGCCACAAGUCUCUUCAAUGAAUAUGUCAUGAGUGCCCUAUCAGACAAGACCGUUCUUUUGGUGACUCACCAAGUGGAUUUUCUACCUGUAUUUGACUCCAUUUUGUUAAUGUCAAAUGGAGAGGUUAUUCGGUCUGCACCUUAUCAAGAUCUAUUGGCAGAUUGUGAAGAAUUUAAAGACCUUGUAAAUGCCCAUAAAGAUACUAUGGGUGUUUCGCAUAGCAAGAAUAACAUACCCCAUCAAAGAUCUAAGGAAGUAUCAAUAAAGGAGACAAAUGGUAUUCAUGGAAGUAGAUAUACAGAGUCUGUGAAGCCAUCACCGGCAGAUCAACUAAUCAAGAAAGAGGAAAGAGAAACUGGGGAUGCAGUUUUCAAGUCUUAUAUGCUUUACCUGCGCCAGAAGAAAGGCUUCCUGUAUUUCUUCUUGUGUAUGAUUUCUCACAUAAUUUUCGUAGCUGGGCAGAUAUUACAGAAUUCAUGGAUGGCUGCUAAUGUCCAAAAUCCUCAUGUUAGCACACUGAAGUUAAUUUCUGUGUACAUUAUUAUCGGAGCUUGCGCAAUGAUCUUCUUGCUAUCAAGAUCUUUAACAGUCGUUGUUUUUGGGAUCCAGUCAUCAAGAUCCUUAUUUUCCCAGCUACUCAAUUCAUUGUUCCGUGCACCAAUGUUCUUUUUUGAUUCUACACCUCUAGGAAGGGUUCUUAGCCGGGUCUCUUCAGAUUUGAGUAUCGUUGACCUUGAUAUUCCAUUUGCAUUAGUGGUUAGCCUUGGUACCAGCUUAAAUGCAUGUAGCAAUCUAGGGGUAUUGGCUGUUGUUACAUGGCAAGUUCUGUUUGUAUCCGUGCCAAUGAUAGUUUUGGCAAUUAAGUUGCAGAGGUACUAUCUAGCAUCGGCCAAGGAAUUAAUGCGGAUCAAUGGUACUACAAAGUCUGCCCUAGCGAGUCACUUAGGUGAAUCGAUUGCAGGGGCUAUAACGAUAAGGGCCUUUGAGGGAGAAGAUCGUUUCUUUGCUAAAAAUUUGGAUCUUGUUGACAAGAAUGCCAGCCCAUAUUUCUGUAAUUUUGCAGCAACUGAAUGGUUGAUUCAACGUAUAGAAAUAAUGAGCGCUGUAGUUCUUUCUUCUUCCGCCUUUGUCAUGGCUCUUCUUCCUCAAGAAACUUUUAGCCCUGGUUUUGUGGGAAUGGCAUUGUCCUAUGGUCUUUCGCUAAAUACAUCAUUUGUUUCCUUUACUCAAAGCCAGUGCAACCUUGGGAAUCAAAUAAUCUCGAUGGAACGGGUGAGUCAGUACAUGGACAUACCAAGUGAAGCAGCAGAAGUCACUGAAGACAAUCGACCAUUACCAGAUUGGCCCCAAAAUGGCAAUGUGGAGAUUAGGCAUUUGAAGAUUAGGUACAGGGAAGACGCACCCCUUGUACUACAUGGAAUCACUUGCAAUUUUGAAGGUGGAGAUAAGAUUGGUAUAGUUGGUCGAACAGGAAGUGGCAAGACAACGUUAAUUGGUGCAUUGUUUCGCCUUGUUGAACCUGAUGAAGGGAACAUAAUUAUAGACUUUGUGGAUAUCAGUACAAUAGGCUUACAUGAUCUGCGGUCGCGUUUGGGUAUCAUUCCACAAGACCCAACACUUUUCCAGGGUACAAUAAGAUACAAUCUAGAUCCUCUUGGGCAAUUCUCAGAUGAAAAAAUAUGGGAGGUUCUUGCCAAAUGUCAACUUCUUGAAGCUGUCCAGGAGAAGGAACAGGGACUGGAUUCACAUGUUGUGGAAAGUGGGUCAAACUGGAGCAUGGGCCAAAGGCAGCUCUUCUGCCUGGGACGCGCACUUCUGAGGUGCCGUAUCUUGGUUCUUGAUGAAGCCACAGCUUCUAUAGACAAUGCAACAGAUGUUCUCCUUCAGAAGACCAUCCGGACGGAAUUCAAAUAUUGCACUGUUAUUACAGUUGCCCACCGUAUACCGACAGUUAUGGAUUGUGAUAUGGUACUUGCAAUGAGCGACGGGAAAGUAGUAGAGUUUGAGAAACCUACAAAGCUCAUGGAAACUGAAGGAUCUCUCUUUCGCGAGCUGGUCAAGGAGUACUGGUCAUACACUUCGAACACAAAUAUCUAG